CCUUCCUUCAGCUUCAUGUGCAAUGUGGGGUUAGAACUCAUGACCCUAAUAUUAAGAGUUGCAUGCUCUACUGAUUGAGCCUGCCAGGCACCCCAUUGUGCUGUCUCUUUUCAGGCAGGGACUCAGUCUCCUAUCAUCCUCCCAGCUCUUCCAGAGCAAUCCUGAUUUUUAAAGUUCUAUGUAUUAAGCACAACUUACUGUAAAAGCCUGUGGAAUUCAGCCCCUCUGGUUUUCAAAGCCAAAUGUUAUGGGGAUUCCUCCUGCGUGGAGGGGCUGGAGUGUCUAUUUCUCUCUCCUCUCCACACUCUCAGUGAUCCUCCCUCCCCAGGCAGUCCUGCAUGUCCAUCAGCUGUGUCUCUGCCCUUCCUACCCUCUUGUAUGUGGGCUCUUGUUUACAUUCAGCUGUGGGGAGUUUGUUCUGUCAGUCUUUGGGUUGUUUUUGGGGUUAUGUCCAUUGAUGUGUGUAUUAUCUAGAUAUGUUUGUAGGACGAGGUGAGCUUAGGGUCCUCCUACUCCACCAUCUUCUGCAGAAGUCUCUCCCUAUUCUGUUAUUGAAGGACCUUUAGGUAGUUUCCAAGUUUUGGCUCUUAUGUAAUAGCACCUUCUUGGGACUGUCUUUCAGUGAAUCUAUAUAUACAUUUCUUACAGGUACAUAUUGAAGUAGAGAAUCCGUUAGUAAAAAAAUAGGUGAACAUUCAACUCUCACAUUUUCCCCAGUGGUUAUUCCAAUUAUUCUCUCACCAUUACAGUGUGCUUGCUUUACUGGAAGAGGAAUUAAAAAAAAAAAACAAACUCUACAAUCUAACUUGUAUGUUUAAUUCAACAAAAUAUAUUGAGCAUCUGUUAUAUAUUAGGUACUUGUCUACCCUUAUGGAGCCUGUAUUCCAGGUGGGGAUAAAAAUAAUGCUAAGAAUAAGACACAACAAUGGGUUGUGAGUGCUACAGACAAAAUAAUAGAGUUGUUGGCCAAAGGGUACAGAUUUCCAGUUAUAAGAGGAGUAAGUUCUGGGGAUUUAAGGAACAGCAUGGUGACUAUAGUUUACAGUAUUGUAUAUCUGAAAGUUGCUAAGAAAGUAAAUCUUAAAUGUCUCACUGUAACAAUAACAUGGUAAUUAUGUGAAAUGAAGGAUAUGUUAAUCUUAUGGUAAUCAUUUUGCGGUAUAUACAUGUAUUAAAUCAUCAAAUCAUACACCUUAAACUUAGGCAAUGUUACAUGUCAAUAACAUCUCAAUAAAACUGGAAAAAAAAGCUAGGGUAAAGGUAAUACAGAGAGGAUGUAUUUGUGUUCUAGGUGUGGGUUUGCCAUUAUUCUUUUGACUUAUUUUAUUACUGUUUUUUAAAAGAUUUUAUUUGGGAAAGAGAGAGUGAGCAUGAGCAGAUGGAAGGAGCAGAGGCAGAGGGAGAAGCAGACUCCCCACUGAGCAGGGAGCCUGAUACAGGGCUGGGUCCCAGGAGCCUGAGAUCAUGACCUGAACUGAAAGCAGAUGCUUAACUGAGCCACCCAGAGACCCUGGUUUACCAUUAUUCUUUUGACUUUAAGUUGUUUUUUUCCCAUUGUAAAGAAAUAGAUGAUUUAAAAUUUUUAAAAUUUUUAUUAUUUAUUUGACAGAGAGCACAAGCAGGGGGAGCAGCAGAGGGAGAAGGAGAAGCAGGCUCUCCAUUAAGCAAGAAUCCCUAUAUGGGGCUCAAUCCCGGACUCUGAGGUUAUGACCUGAGCUGAAGGCAGACACUUAACUUACUGAGCCACCCAGGUGCCCUGAAAUAGAUAAUUUAAAAAGAGAAUUUAGAAGAUAGAGAGAGAGAGAGAGAGAGAGAGAGAGAGAAAUAGCUUCCCUCCCAUAUGCAGUCACUGUUAACACUUUUUUGGGGGGCAUGGAGGGUGGUCUGUUUGCUUUCAGAAGAGUUUUUAAUGCUAGAAUGUUUAUUUUCAUGGUUGAUGUCAUGCUGUUGAUAUGAUUUGGUAUUCUCUGUGUUUUCAUUUAAUGACACAGCAUAAACAUUUUAGUAUCAUAUGAUGGCAUUCUUUGUAAAUGACAUUUUAAUGGUGUAUAUUAGUCCACUGAAUACUGCAAUAUAACAAACUACAAUACCUAACAGCAGACGAUUGGUAGUUUCCAUUUUUCCUUAUUCUCUAUGAUUAUAUGAUGAAUAUUUUGGGCAUGUGAGCUUUUUUCCAGUUAUAAUUCUUUCCUUAUGAUAUAUUCCCAGAAGUAGAAAUAUUUGGUAUUACUGGUGUGUGCAUUUUAAAGGCCACUGAUGUAUGUUACUACAUUAUAGUGGUUAUACCCCCAGAAUAGAAUAGAAUGUAUUUUUGCUGUACCCUUGCUAGCAUUGGCUAUUAGUGAUUUUUUGGGUAAAGAAGAAGAGUUUGAAAAAAAAAAAAAAAAA
RNAcentral lists this long non-coding RNA (2388 nucleotides) under Canis lupus familiaris (dog). Its description in RNAcentral is "lncRNA (ENSCAFG00845016326.1)". Lineage: Eukaryota; Metazoa; Chordata; Mammalia; Carnivora; Canidae. The record is from RNAcentral.